CAGGCCUAACACAUGCAAGUCGGACGGUAUCAGCGAUGAUAUAGUGGCGAACGGGUGAGUAACACGUUGGUGACCUGCCCCAAAGAUGGGAAUAUCACCUGGAAACGGGUGGCAAAACCGAAUAAGCUUACCUGAAUUAGAACAGGGUAAGUAAAAGAGUGAUCUACUUUGGGAGGGGCCUGCGGCCCAUCAGUUAGUUGGUGAGGGUAACGGCCCACCAAGACGAAGACGGGUAGGGGACCUGAGAGGGUGGUCCCCCACAAUGGAACUGAAACACGGUCCAUACACCUGCGGGUGGCAGCAGUAGGGAAUAUUGCUUAAUGGGCGAAAGCCUGAAGCAGCAACGCCGCGUGGACGAAGGAGGCCUUCGGGUCGUAAAGUCCUUUUAUGGGGGAAAAGGAAGGAUGGUACCCCAUGAAUAAGUCUCGGCUAACUACGUGCCAGCAGCCGCGGUAAAACGUAGGAGACGAGCGUUAUCCGGAUUUACUGGGCGUAAAGAGCGUGUAGGAGGCAAUACAAGUUGGAUGUAAAAUCUCCCGGCUUAACUGGGAGGCGUCGUUCAAGACUGUAUAGCUGGAGUGCUGUAGAGGUAAUCGGAACUCCGGGAGUAGCGGUGAAAUGCGUAGAUAUCCGGAAGAACACCAGAGGCGAAAGCGGAUUACUGGACAGUAACUGACACUGAGACGCGAAAGCCAGGGUAGCAAACGGGAUUAGAGACCCCGGUAGUCCUGGCCGUAAACGAUGUAGACUCGUCGUUUGGUGGGUAAAACCACUGAGUGACUAAGCAAACGCAAUAAGUCUACCGCCUGGGGAGUACGGUCGCAAGAUUAAAACUCAAAGGAAUUGACGGGGGCCCGCACAAGCAGCGGAGCGUGUGGUUUAAUUCGAUGCAACGCGAAGAACCUUACCUGGUCUGGACAUCCUACUGAAUAGUUAUGUAAUGUAAUUAGUCUUCGGACAGUAGAGGCAGGUGGUGCAUGGUUGUCGUCAGCUCGUGUCGUGAGAUGUUAGGUUAAGUCCUGCAACGAGCGCAACCCUUAUUGCCAGUAGCCAAUAUUAAGUUAGGCACUCUGGCGAGACUGCCGAGGUUAACUCGGAGGAAGGUGGGGAUGACGUCAAAUCAUCAUGCCCCUUAUGAUCAGGGCUACACACGUGCUACAAUGGCGGAGAACAAAGAGAAGCGAAAGGGUGACCUGGAGCAAAUCUCAAAAAAGCCGUCUCAGUUCGGAUUGUAGUCUGCAACUCGACUACAUGAAGCUGGAAUCGCUAGUAAUCGCAAAGAAGAGUGUUGCGGUGAAUACGUUCCCGG
RNAcentral lists this ribosomal RNA (1309 nucleotides) under uncultured rumen bacterium. RNAcentral describes it as "partial 16S ribosomal RNA". It matches the Rfam family "Bacterial small subunit ribosomal RNA", at positions 43 to 1377 of the family's 1533-position model. The record is from RNAcentral.